UAGAGGUUAUUUUGGCAAUUUCGGAGGAAAGAAUUUAAUGUUUCGACAGUUUGCCAGAAUGGGCGGGAGGGGAGGAGAGGGAUGGAGGGAAACUCCGUUUAAAAUAGAUUUCCCUCUCAUCGAUUCCCUCGCUUCCCGUGGAACGAUUCCGCUUUGUCCCAUUGAAAACAGGAAGUUGGCGUAUUAACGAUCAAAGGGGCCGGAGAAUCGGCCCCUGAAAACGUCGAACGGAGGGAGGAAGGGGGGAAACGUUUCUUUCAUUCGCAGCACGGCUAAAUGUUUGGUAAUCCGUUGGUUAUCACUCGAGGUGGGGAAUUAGCGUUAAUGACAUUAAAAUAUCGGACAACCGAUAUUACUCGUUAAAAAGUUUCGAUUAAAAUAAAAUCCUUUUAACGGGGACGAAUAGACGCGGCCAGUUUCCAACCUCGUCUCUCGUUCAGAGAAAACCGUUUGUCCUUACGUUUAGCCUG
Apis florea (little honeybee) is the source of this 470-nucleotide long non-coding RNA. Lineage: Eukaryota; Metazoa; Arthropoda; Insecta; Hymenoptera; Apidae. The record is from RefSeq and is a predicted model, not a curated record.